UUAUUGGAGAGUUUGAUCCUGGCUCAGGACGAACGCUGGCGGCGUGCCUAAUACAUGCAAGUCGAGCGAA
Molecule: ribosomal RNA, 70 nt
Filed under: Bacillus sp. (in: firmicutes)
Lineage: Bacteria; Bacillati; Bacillota; Bacilli; Caryophanales; Bacillaceae
Also listed under: 2 other names
Description: partial 16S ribosomal RNA
Rfam family: Bacterial small subunit ribosomal RNA
Source: RNAcentral